GAUGAACGCUGGCGGCGUGCCUAAUACAUGCAAGUCGAGCGAACAGAUGAGGAGCUUGCUCCUCUGACGUUAGCGGCGGACGGGUGAGUAACACGUGGAUAACCUACCUAUAAGACUGGGAUAACUACGGGAAACCGGAGCUAAUACCGGAUAAUAUAUUGAACCGCAUGGUUCAAUAGUGAAAGACGGUUUUGCUGUCACUUAUAGAUGGAUCCGCGCCGCAUUAGCUAGUUGGUAAGGUAACGGCUUACCAAGGCAACGAUGCGUAGCCGACCUGAGAGGGUGAUCGGCCACACUGGAACUGAGACACGGUCCAGACUCCUACGGGAGGCAGCAGUAGGGAAUCUUCCGCAAUGGGCGAAAGCCUGACGGAGCAACGCCGCGUGAGUGACGAAGGUCUUCGGAUCGUAAAACUCUGUUAUUAGGGAAGAACAAAUGUGUAAGUAACUAUGCACGUCUUGACGGUACCUAAUCAGAAAGCCACGGCUAACUACGUG
This 497-nucleotide ribosomal RNA is filed under the name uncultured bacterium. RNAcentral describes it as "partial 16S ribosomal RNA". It matches the Rfam family "Bacterial small subunit ribosomal RNA", at positions 28 to 507 of the family's 1533-position model. The record is from RNAcentral.